This 657-nucleotide ribosomal RNA is filed under the name uncultured bacterium. RNAcentral's name for it is "bacterial SSU rRNA". It matches the Rfam family "Bacterial small subunit ribosomal RNA", at positions 232 to 885 of the family's 1533-position model. The record is from RNAcentral.
CGCGGCCUAUCAGCUUGUUGGUGGGGUGAUGGCCUACCAAGGCGACGACGGGUAGCCGGCCUGAGAGGGUGUCCGGCCACACUGGGACUGAGAUACGGCCCAGACUCCUACGGGAGGCAGCAGUGGGGAAUAUUGCACAAUGGGCGCAAGCCUGAUGCAGCGACGCCGCGUGGGGGAUGACGGCCUUCGGGUUGUAAACCUCUUUCACCAUUGGCGAAGCCGGAAGCUUUUGUUUCUGGUGACGGUAGGUGGAGAAGAAGCACCGGCCAACUACGUGCCAGCAGCCGCGGUAAUACGUAGGGUGCGAGCGUUGUCCGGAAUUACUGGGCGUAAAGAGCUCGUAGGUGGUUUGUCGCGUUGUUCGUGAAAUCUCACGGCUUAACUGUGAGCGUGCGGGCGAUACGGGCAGACUGGAGUACUGCAGGGGAGACUGGAAUUCCUGGUGUAGCGGUGGAAUGCGCAGAUAUCAGGAGGAACACCGGUGGCGAAGGCGGGUCUCUGGGCAGUAACUGACGCUGAGGAGCGAAAGCUGGGGGAGCAAACAGGAUUAGAUACCCUGGUAGUCCCAGCCGUAAACGAUGGGUGCUAGGUGUGGGAGGCUAUCGACGCUUUCCGUGCCGCAGCUAACGCAUUAAGCACCCCGCCUGGGGAGUACGG